UAGGGAAUAUUGGACAAUGGGGGCAACCCUGAUCCAGCCAUGCCGCGUGAGUGAAGAAGGCCCUCGGGUUGUAAAGCUCUUUUGUCCGGAAAGAAAAGCAUUCGGUGAAUACCCGGAUGUUCUGACGGUACCGGAAGAAUAAGCACCGGCUAACUUCGUGCCAGCAGCCGCGGUAAUACGAAGGGUGCAAGCGUUACUCGGAAUUACUGGGCGUAAAGCGUGGGUAGGUGGUUGUUUAAGUCUGAUGUGAAAGCCCUGGGCUCAACCGGGGAAUGGCAUUGGAAACUGGGCAGCUAGAGUGCGGUAGAGGGUAGUGGAAUUCCCGGUGUAGCAGUGAAAUGCGUAGAGAUCGGGAGGAACAUCUGUGGCGAAGGCGACUGCCUGGACCAGCACUGACACUGAGGCACGAAAGCGUGGGGAGCAAACA
RNAcentral lists this ribosomal RNA (427 nucleotides) under uncultured bacterium. Its description in RNAcentral is "bacterial SSU rRNA". It matches the Rfam family "Bacterial small subunit ribosomal RNA", at positions 355 to 774 of the family's 1533-position model. The record is from RNAcentral.